UUAAGAGUAGCUACGCCGCGA
RNAcentral lists this unclassified non-coding RNA (21 nucleotides) under Chlamydomonas reinhardtii. RNAcentral's name for it is "small RNA Cre_3711". The record is from RNAcentral. Lineage: Eukaryota; Viridiplantae; Chlorophyta; Chlorophyceae; Chlamydomonadales; Chlamydomonadaceae.